UACAGAGGAGCCAAGCGUUGUCCGGAUUGACUGGGCGUAAAGCGCACGCAGGCGGAUGCGCGCGUGGGGUGUGAAAUCUGGCCGCUUAACGGCCAGGCGCCAUCCCAUACGGCGCGUCUGGAGUGAUGCAGAGGUCGAUGGAAUUGCCGGUGUAGUGGUGAAAUGCGUAGAGAUCGGCAGGAACACCCAGGGGGAAACCAGUCGACUGGGCAUCUACUGACGCUGAGGUGCGAAAGCGUGGGGAGCAAACAGG
RNAcentral lists this ribosomal RNA (253 nucleotides) under uncultured bacterium. RNAcentral's name for it is "partial 16S ribosomal RNA". It matches the Rfam family "Bacterial small subunit ribosomal RNA", at positions 524 to 776 of the family's 1533-position model. The record is from RNAcentral.